GGUCGACGAUUCCUACGGGAGGCAGCAGUGGGGAAUAUUGCACAAUGGGCGCAAGCUUGAUGCAGCCAUGCCGCGUGUGUGAAGAAGGCCUUCGGGUUGUAAAGCACUUUCAGUCGUGAGGAAGGUAGUGUAGUUAAUAGCUGCAUUACUUGACGUUAGCGACAGAAGAAGCACUGGCUAACUCCGUG
Molecule: ribosomal RNA, 188 nt
Filed under: uncultured bacterium
Lineage: Bacteria
Description: partial 16S ribosomal RNA
Rfam family: Bacterial small subunit ribosomal RNA
Source: RNAcentral